This is a long non-coding RNA of Polypterus senegalus (gray bichir), 1158 nucleotides long. RefSeq lists it as uncharacterized. The record is from RefSeq and is a predicted model, not a curated record. The transcript has 4 exons. Lineage: Eukaryota; Metazoa; Chordata; Cladistia; Polypteriformes; Polypteridae.
UCUUUCCGCGACAGCUUAAGUUAACGUGAGCGUAACCCGCUUAUGUUUGAGAGUUCGCGCGCCACAACGAGCAAUCUGAAAAUAUUUACCAAAAGAAGGGUUUUUUUUCUGGGAGCAUCACUUUUAGGGUCUUUUAGGGUUGUUGAGACUUCAUCAUCCUGACCUCCCAAAAGAUGUAAGAACUCUUCCAAGAAUGGCUAUUCUAUUCAGAAUAAGCCUUGGUACAAUGAUGGCACAACCUUUUGGCCAAAUUAUAAGAGUGAUGAAAGACUUAAAGCAGCAAGAUAUGCUGAGGAACCAGGCCCAAGCUGGACCAAGCAUGAUGUUAGAGUACUAAAGUCCUAUGGAGAUUACAUGUCUGCACAGCAAGGGAUAAAGAAGUUUUUGACUUGUCAAACUUCAGAAUUGGAUUCAGAUGAUGAGGUAGAUAUAAGCAGGGUGCAAAGAGAAUCUAAACUAAAGUAAGUUUGAUUUGACUUCGUCUGUGUUUUGUUGAAUGUAUGAAACCUUUGUUUUGAGUAAUAUGUGCACAUUUAAUCUUCUGUAAACAGCACUACUAUGGUGACACUGACUAUGAAAGUGAACAUGAAGACUUAGCUAAUAAAACAAAACGUCCCUUGACAAGAUCUUCAAAACCUUGACAGUCAACUAGACCUCAAAAGUUAUCCCCACAUUCUGCACCUCAGGUGCCAUCACCACUUUUACCAUCUGUACCACCUUGUUGCUCACCACCACAAAUUUUCCUUCAGGUGUCACCUCCUUACCAGUGAUGAUUGCAGUCUGAAAAUACAUCUCAACAAAUUUCCAACAGCCUUUUAAAGAUGCAAAAUACUUCUGAACUCUUAAGGCCUACUAACAGUGUGGGUUGAUGUGGAACAGAACUAAUGAUCGUAACUUAUCAGUGCAAGGUCAACUAUUCAUUGUACUUGUUUCACAUAUUUAACAACCUUUUGAACAUAUCAGAGCAUAAGUCAACAAGUUGCCAUGUUCAUUUUGUGGCAGUAUAUUCCUUGAUGUUUAGUGUUUUGAUUUUUAAGAUGUCAAGUUUUGUAUGUUCCAGAGGAUAUUCUUUUAACAUAUGUGAGAAUUAUGUUUGUUCCAAAGCACAAGAGUAGGAUCCAUUGCUUUUUCCAAUAAAGGACAAAUUAUUCAAAUUAA